UAGAAGCGAACCUGUGAAGGGGAGCAAACCACAGAAAAGACGCCCAGUUCGGAUUGUAAUCUGCAACUCGAUUACAUGAAGCUGGAAUCGCUAGUAAUCGCAAAUCAGAAUGUUGCGGUGAAUACGUUCCCGGGGUCUUGUACACACCGCCCGUCACACCAUGGGAGCUAGGAAUGCCCGAAGCCAGUGGCCUAACCGAAAGGAAGGAGCUGUCGAAGGCAGGCCCAGUAACUGGGGUGAAGUCGUAACAAGGUAUC
RNAcentral lists this ribosomal RNA (257 nucleotides) under uncultured bacterium. Its description in RNAcentral is "partial 16S ribosomal RNA". It matches the Rfam family "Bacterial small subunit ribosomal RNA", at positions 1244 to 1500 of the family's 1533-position model. The record is from RNAcentral.